Molecule: non-coding RNA, 104 nt
Organism: Xylaria intraflava
Lineage: Eukaryota; Fungi; Ascomycota; Sordariomycetes; Xylariales; Xylariaceae
Source: the annotation of a GenBank genome assembly
GGGCUUGUGGUUUAGUGGUAUAAUACUCCCUUAGCAUCAGCGGCUCCUUUCGAGAAGCUCGCAGAGAUUGGGAGUGGUCCGGGGUUCGAUUCCCCGCGAGUCCA